This 640-nucleotide ribosomal RNA is filed under the name Sphingomonas sp. RNAcentral describes it as "bacterial SSU rRNA". It matches the Rfam family "Bacterial small subunit ribosomal RNA", at positions 1 to 685 of the family's 1533-position model. The record is from RNAcentral. Lineage: Bacteria; Pseudomonadati; Pseudomonadota; Alphaproteobacteria; Sphingomonadales; Sphingomonadaceae.
UCAAACUUGAGAGUUUGAUCCUGGCUCAGAACGAACGCUGGCGGCAUGCCUAACACAUGCAAGUCGAACGAAGGCUUCGGCCUUAGUGCCGCACGGGUGCGUAACGCGUGGGAAUCUGCCCUUAGGUUCGGAAUAACAGCUGGAAACGGCUGCUAAUACCGGAUGAUAUCGCGAGAUCAAAGAUUUAUCGCCUGAGGAUGAGCCCGCGUUGGAUUAGGUAGUUGGUGGGGUAAUGGCCUACCAAGCCGACGAUCCAUAGCUGGUCUGAGAGGAUGAUCAGCCACACUGGGACUGAGACACGGCCCAGACUCCUACGGGAGGCAGCAGUGGGGAAUAUUGGACAAUGGGCGAAAGCCUGAUCCAGCAAUGCCGCGUGAGUGAUGAAGGCCCUAGGGUUGUAAAGCUCUUUUACCCGGGAAGAUAAUGACUGUACCGGGAGAAUAAGCCCCGGCUAACUCCGUGCCAGCAGCCGCGGUAAUACGGAGGGGGCUAGCGUUGUUCGGAAUUACUGGGCGUAAAGCGCACGUAGGCGGCUUUGUAAGUCAGAGGUGAAAGCCUGGAGCUCAACUCCAGAACUGCCUUUGAGACUGCAUCGCUUGAAUCCAGGAGAGGUCAGUGGAAUUCCGAGUGUAGAGGUGAA